GGGGUCGUAGCUCAAAUGGUAGAGCGCCCGCUUAGCAUGCGAUGCUGAGCGCCGCAGAUGAUGUGCGGGAGGUAGGGUAGGGGGAUCGAUGCCCUCCGACUCCA
RNAcentral lists this transfer RNA (104 nucleotides) under Volvox carteri f. nagariensis. It matches the Rfam family "tRNA". Rfam says of the family: Transfer RNA (tRNA) molecules are approximately 80 nucleotides in length. The record is from Rfam by way of RNAcentral. Lineage: Eukaryota; Viridiplantae; Chlorophyta; Chlorophyceae; Chlamydomonadales; Volvocaceae.